Long non-coding RNA from Argiope bruennichi, 1243 nucleotides. RefSeq lists it as uncharacterized. The record is from RefSeq and is a predicted model, not a curated record. Lineage: Eukaryota; Metazoa; Arthropoda; Arachnida; Araneae; Araneidae. The transcript is spliced from 2 exons.
GGUUAAAAUUUUUCGGCGGAUUAUUUCAAUCGGUUCUGUUUAUUUUCUUAAUGUUUGAUGCAUUUAAAAUUAAACAUUGUUAAUGAAUCAAUCUUUCAGAUUCAUUCUGAAGUACUUUUGAAUUAAAAUAAAACAGAAUAAAGGAAAUUAAAAAUUUCUAAUCCGCAUAGCGUUACCCCAACUGGCGUAGAAAAAAUCACGUAUUUGCGUUACGUAACCGGCGAAGAAAAUUCAUACAUGCGCAUUCUGUUCUGAUUGUUGCCAUGACAACGUUAUCAAUGGAUGAUUUAAAUUAUUUUUGGGUUAGUUGCAUGCUUUUAUUUUGUCCGAGACCACCUCUUUCAACCAGCAUCCAGGUUCUGUACUGGAAUUCCAACCUGUCAGAAUUGAAAAAGCAUCCACUAUAUUGGCAGAAAAUAUAUUUGAUCGCGGGAAAAUAUAUUCUAUACUCUAAUUUAUAAUUCUCGUCCAAGACAUUCAAUCCUUUAAUUCUUUAUAAAGCUGGAUAACUAAAUAUAUGAAAUUAUCUAAUGAUGCAAGACAAAUUGGACCAAACUUCAAGUGGGAUAUUCGAAGUUAAAUCAUCUAUACUUAUAAUAAAGCUCAAUGUGUGUGUGUGUGUGUGUGUGUGUUGGCGCUCUACAGGCCAGACCGUUCGACCAACAGCUACGAAAUUUGGCACGUGUAUACCUUGGAGGCUGGGAAUGUGCACCUCGGGAUUAUUUUUUCGAAUUUUUAAUUAAAAUUUUAUUUAUUUAAAAAAUAAGCGAAAUUUUAGCGUGUUUCUGCUAUAACUUCCGAAAAUAUUACCGCACAAAAAAGAUUUUUACAUCAAGUUAAAGAUCAAAAAUUUAUCUUUUAAAUGAUAGCAAUGUUUUAACCUUAAAAUUAAAUUUCUAUUUUUAAUUAAUUUUUAAAUGAAUAAUUUAACUAUAUUUUUCAACAAUUUUUUUCGUACAAAAUAAAAAUAAAAUUUAAGCUGCACGAGCACGUUUCGCACUCAUGGGGGAAAAAAUUAGCUUUUUUCAAAGUCUUGCCAUCACAUCGAUUAAAGCUCCAUUUAAAAAUAAAUUAAAUCUUUUUUGGAAAUGAAAUCUGGAAAAAUAUGAUUUUCGUCACGUGUCUGUAGGAAAUGAAACAAAUAUGAAAUGUUAUUUUUUUCUAAAAAAUAAAUUCAAGAAAAAUUAUUUUAUGAUCUUUUACACUAUCUGUAUUAGUAAUCUAAUAAAUCAGUUUUAUUUUA